RNAcentral lists this transfer RNA (72 nucleotides) under Candidatus Woesearchaeota archaeon. RNAcentral's name for it is "tRNA-Gly". It matches the Rfam family "tRNA". Rfam says of the family: Transfer RNA (tRNA) molecules are approximately 80 nucleotides in length. Their secondary structure includes four short double-helical elements and three loops (D, anti-codon, and T loops). Further hydrogen bonds mediate the characteristic L-shaped molecular structure. tRNAs have two regions of fundamental functional importance: the anti-codon, which is responsible for specific mRNA codon recognition, and the 3' end, to which the tRNAs corresponding amino acid is attached (by aminoacyl-tRNA synthetases). tRNAs cope with the degeneracy of the genetic code in two manners: having more than one tRNA (with a specific anti-codon) for a particular amino acid; and 'wobble' base-pairing, i.e. permitting non-standard base-pairing at the 3rd anti-codon position. The record is from RNAcentral. Lineage: Archaea; Nanobdellati; Candidatus Woesearchaeota.
GCGAGAGUAGUAUAGUGGUUAGUAUACGACGUUGCCAACGUUGUGACCCGGGUUCAAAUCCCGGCUCUCGCA